UGGGGAAUAUUGCACAAUGGGGGAAACCCUGAUGCAGCCAUGCCGCGUGUGUGAAGAAGGCCUUCGGGUUGUAAAGCACUUUCAGCGAGGAGGAAAGGUUGAUGCCUAAUACGCAUCAGCUGUGACGUUACUCGCAGAAGAAGCACCGGCUAACUCCGUGCCAGCAGCCGCGGUAAUCAGGAGGGUGCAAGCGUUAAUCGGCAUUACUGGGCGUAAAGCGCACGCAGGCGGUUGGAUAAGUUAGAUGUGAAAGCCCCGGGCUCAACCUGGGAAUUGCAUGUAAAACUGUCCAGCUAGAGUCUUGUAGAGGGGGGUAGAAGGCCAGGUGUAGCGGUGAAAUGCGUAGAGAUCUGGAGGAAUACCGGUGGCGAAGGCGGCCCCCUGGACAAAGACUGACGCUCAGGUGCGAAAGCGUGGGGAGCAAACA
RNAcentral lists this ribosomal RNA (427 nucleotides) under uncultured prokaryote. Its description in RNAcentral is "bacterial SSU rRNA". It matches the Rfam family "Bacterial small subunit ribosomal RNA", at positions 355 to 774 of the family's 1533-position model. The record is from RNAcentral.